AUACGGAGGGAGCAAGCGUUAUUCGGAAUCACUGGGCGUAAAGGACGCGUAGGCGGGUUUGUAAGUCAGGUGUGAAAUACUACAGCUCAACUGUAGAACUGCACUUGAAACUACAGACCUAGAGUAUGGAAGGGGCAGAUGGAAUUAGUGGUGUAGGGGUAAAAUCCGUAGAUAUCACUAGGAAUACCGAAAGCGAAGGCGAUCUGCUGGGACAUUACUGACGCUGAGGCGUGAAAGCGUGGGGAGCAAACAGGAUUAGAAACCCUAGUAGUCC
Molecule: ribosomal RNA, 274 nt
Filed under: uncultured bacterium
Lineage: Bacteria
Description: partial 16S ribosomal RNA
Rfam family: Bacterial small subunit ribosomal RNA
Source: RNAcentral